RNAcentral lists this ribosomal RNA (700 nucleotides) under uncultured bacterium. RNAcentral describes it as "bacterial SSU rRNA". It matches the Rfam family "Bacterial small subunit ribosomal RNA", at positions 139 to 851 of the family's 1533-position model. The record is from RNAcentral.
CGGGAUACCCGAGGGAAACUUCGGUUAAUACGGUAUAAGACCACACUACCGCAUGGUAGAGGGGUAAAAGGGGCAACCUGGUAUGAGAUGGACUCGCGUCGCAUUAGCUAGUUGGUGAGGUAACGGCCACCAAGGCGACGAUGCGUAGCCGACCUGAGAGGGCGAUCGGCCACAUUGGGACUGAGAUACGGCCCAGACUCCUACGGGAGGCAGCAGUGGGGAAUAUUGGGCAAUGGAGGAAACUCUGACCCAGCAAUGCCGCGUGAAUGAAGAAGGUCUUCGGAUUGUAAAGUUCUUUAGUCAGGGAAGAAGUCAAUGACGGUACCUGAAGAAUAAGCUCCGGCUAACUACGUGCCAGCAGCCGCGGUAAUACGUAGGGAGCAAGCGUUGUUCGGAAUGACUGGGCGUAAAGGGUGCGUAGGCGGUUGUACAAGUUAGAAGUGAAAUACCCAGGGCUUAACCCGGGUGCUGCUUCUAAAACUGUAUGACUUGAGUGCAGUAGAGGUUAGUGGAAUUCCUAGUGUAGCGGUGGAAUGCGUAGAUAUUAGGAGGAACACCAGAGGCGAAGGCGGCUAACUGGACUGCAACUGACGCUGAGGCACGAAAGUGUGGGGAGCAAACAGGAUUAGAUACCCUGGUAGUCCACACUGUAAACGAUGGAUAAUAGAUGUAGGAGGUAUCGACUCCUUCUGCGUCGCAG